This is a non-coding RNA of Drosophila melanogaster (fruit fly), 565 nucleotides long. NCBI's taxonomy places the organism in Eukaryota, Metazoa, Arthropoda, Insecta, Diptera, Drosophilidae. The record is from Ensembl.
CACAAGAUGCGAAGUGAAAAUUGAGUUGGGUCAAGCUGCUGCUAAUGCUGAGCUACCGUAACACAUUAAAAUUAUCUAGUAAUUCCUCCUCGCCUUCAAUUAGUGACCUGGCCGGGCAGGCAGUCAAGUCCAACGGUUGUAAUUCACCCAUCAGCGCCAGAGUUGAAUGAACCAGGCCAACAGCGCAAACCAAAACCAAAACCAAAUCGGAGUUGGUCAGGUCUGUUAAUUAGCCAGAAGCGCAGGCAAAACAGAGACCCGAACCCAAAAAUGCUAAUAAUACUGAUGCUAAGAGUCAAUCAAUCAUUUUGCAGUUUCACAGUGCAAAAAACACUUACACACAUCUAACCAUCCCAGCCAUCCAUCCACCCAAUGAGGCAUCUUGUGCCGAAUGAACCAAUUCCACGGAAGUUUUCAUUGCGAUUCGACCACCCAUUGCUGACGCUGCAGUUACCAGAUUCAGAUACAAAUACAUUUGAUAUACUUUAGAAACAGUAAGAAAAUUGUUGCAAUCUAUAGAUAAUAUACAAAAGUUUUUGUUGCUUAGUACAAGAAUAUAAUAAAU